UGGCGAAAAAGACAAAGAAGAUGACAGGAAGUAGUAGGAGGAUGAUGGCGGGGCAUGCUUGGAUUCACCAGGAGACGGAGUAUUUUUCUAAACUGAAUUUGCUAAAGUGGCAUUACCAGCAUUUUAGAUUCCAAAAAGUCGUCUGUUUGUCCAGCUGCUUUGCUGUUAAUCCUGGUUUACUGUAACUCCCGGUUCCUGACCUUUCCUUCAUUUCCUGGACCAGCAAGUUCCUUGCAAAAGAGCAGACCUCCCUAAAGGAGUCAAAGAUCGAGCCCUGGGAGAGAAGGAGGGAGGUGAAAGAGGAACAGAGAGGCCCUCUGACGGGAGAAUGGAGAUAAAAUAAACAGAAGUGAUGAUAACUGGCUGUCAUAACCACCAGUCCAACCUCUCAAGGUUUUGAGGGGAAACAUUCUGUAGAUGAUAAAGCAGAGAACAAAUGGAGUGGUCCAAAGUGAUGGCAUGUAGGUGAAUGGGAUGGUUGGGAAGGGAUUGAAGGAGUUUGUGUGUGAGAGUUGAUUAAAAUGAUCAAAGAUUAAAAUGAA
Molecule: long non-coding RNA, 542 nt
Organism: Girardinichthys multiradiatus
Lineage: Eukaryota; Metazoa; Chordata; Actinopteri; Cyprinodontiformes; Goodeidae
Exons: 3
Source: RefSeq, a predicted model, not a curated record